CCUAGAAGGAGUGGAAAGAGCAGGCCCUGGUCCACGUGGAGGGGGUGGUCACCAGCCCCAAGGCCUGGUCAUUCCCGAGACAGGACAUCCGUGUGGCUUUGAGAGCUGUGUCCUCAAACAGCAGCCAGGUGCUGGCCCACCUCCAGCUGGCCGAGGCUAGGAGUUUCUGACCAGCCUCUGACCCAGUGGUGACCACGCUCCACGGGUUCCCAGUGCCUCGUGCCUGCAGGAUCCCUGAGGGUCUGACCUGUGAGCUUGCAGGGUGGGGCCCCUCAUCCUCUCAAUCGCUGAUGCCACCUGCCCCCGUAUGCCCUCAGGAAUGUGCCCCCGGCUUCUAUCGGGACGUCAAAGGUCUCUUCCUGGGCCGAUGUGUCCCUUGUCAGUGCCAUGGACACUCAGACCGCUGCCUCCCUGGCUCUGGCAUCUGUGUGGACUGCCAGCACAACACCGAAGGGGCCCACUGUGAGCGCUGCCAGGCUGGCUUCGUGAGCAGCGGGGAGGACCCCAGCGCCCCCUGUGUCAGCUGCCCCUGUCCCCUCUCCGUGCCUUCCAACAACUUCGCCGAGGGCUGUGUCCUGCGAGGCGGCCGCACCCAGUGCCUCUGCAAACCUGGUUAUGCAGGUGCCUCCUGUGAGCG
Molecule: small RNA, 637 nt
Filed under: Pongo abelii (Sumatran orangutan)
Lineage: Eukaryota; Metazoa; Chordata; Mammalia; Primates; Hominidae
Description: retained intron
Source: RNAcentral